GCCGGGUGUGGUGGCACGCGCCUGUAAUCCCAGCUACUCAGAAGGCUGAGCCCGGAGCAAUUCUUGAGUCCAGGAGUUAUGGGCCACAGUGCGCUAUGCUGAUUGGGUGUCCGCACUAAGUUUGGCAUCAGUAUGGUGACCUCCUGGGAGCGGGGGAACACCAGGUUGCCUAAGGAGGGGUGAACCGGCCCAGGUCGGAAACGGAGAAGGUCAAAACUCCCGUGCUGAUCUGCUUGAAUUAUUUGUUGUUCUGCUCAUUCUCAUAUAUGUCUGUCAUUGAUUAUAAGACCUUAUUCCCCAUUUU
Dipodomys ordii (Ord's kangaroo rat) is the source of this 304-nucleotide non-coding RNA. NCBI's taxonomy places the organism in Eukaryota, Metazoa, Chordata, Mammalia, Rodentia, Heteromyidae. The record is from Rfam.